AGCCCUGGGGUGUUAUCAUAUCAGAUUGCAAAUCUGAGGAAGCAGACUAACCGUCUGCCGGGGCUU
This 66-nucleotide transfer RNA is filed under the name Beryx splendens (splendid alfonsino). RNAcentral describes it as "tRNA-Cys". Lineage: Eukaryota; Metazoa; Chordata; Actinopteri; Beryciformes; Berycidae. The record is from RNAcentral.